GCGGGAGUGGCGGAAUUGGCAGACGCGCCGGACUUAGGAUCCGGUGGGUUAAACCGUAAGGGUUCAAAUCCCUUCUCCCGCACCA
RNAcentral lists this transfer RNA (85 nucleotides) under Syntrophomonadaceae bacterium. RNAcentral's name for it is "tRNA-Leu". It matches the Rfam family "tRNA". Rfam says of the family: Transfer RNA (tRNA) molecules are approximately 80 nucleotides in length. Lineage: Bacteria; Bacillati; Bacillota; Clostridia; Eubacteriales; Syntrophomonadaceae. The record is from RNAcentral. RNAcentral also lists the same sequence under 4 other names.